GUGUGUGUGUGUGUGUGUGUGUGUGUGUUGGUUUAGGAUUUGUGUGUUGGUUUAGGAUUGUUGGGCGGUUAAGUGCAUUUGAUUUAUGAGUGUGUAAUUGCUGUUACAGGUGACCAUUGAGUUUGACCAGAGCGUGUCCAUUGCGUUCUCCUGCCAGAGCUGUGACUGCAAAGUGGUUCACGAGUAUAUCGGAGGCUACAUUUUCCUUUCCACACGCUCAAAAGACCAAAAUGAAACAUUACGUGAAGAACUCUUCCACAAGCUCACAGGAGGACAAGACUGACCUCAAAUCAACAUCAGCCUUUAGAAAAGCAAGAAUACAUUGUUAGUGUUUUUUUUAUUUGCCAAAGUCAUUUUAUAUUAGUUUUAAUACACACAGAAGCCAUGUGCACAAGAGAGUAAACAAAUCAAAGCAUUCAACCCAUAUUUCGGAUCUGAAACAAUAUAUUUGCUGACUUUUGACAUCUUUAUAAGUUGUUUUUGCAUCUGAACAAUGUACAUAAUUUACAGCACAGAUUUCCAUACAUGAAUUUGCGUAAUAGAUAUGGGAUACGGUGGGGUUUGGAUUUAAACGAUUUGUUAGUUUUCCACUGAAUGUUUCUUUGAAGUUGUGUACUAACAAAGUGCUUUUUACAGUUCAGUUACAGUUCAGAUGUAAAUAUGUUUACAUUUAAUGUUUCACCAAAAUGUCUAGGUGCUUUGGCUUGUUUUAUGAAAAAAAAUAUAUUUUUAGUUUAAUUAUGCCUUUUAAAGUGUGAAUUUUAUUUUGUUUAAUGUCAUUUUGUUUUCAUUAUGUUGACUGGAAGAUCUAAAANUUCACAACAUAUGGUCCUUCGAGCCGGAUUGCAAUUGCUGUGGAAUUUAUAAAAAUGUCUUCUGACCAAAGGAGUAGAGAAGGAAGGCCUGCUGAUGUGCGUCCUAAACGACAAGUGCGACCACCAGCCUGGUUGGAAGAUUAUGAUGUUUCUCUCCCGCACUAUGAUGAACCUUCACCUGUUGUUCAAACCGCGCCUCUCACCACAGAGGAACAGGAGCCUUAUCAUCGUAUUGAGAGGGUAGCCGAGAUGACCCCCCUCACUCAUCACACACUUCGACACUUCGACACUUCAACUGGACUCAGGCAGAGGCCGUUUACCCAUUCUGGCCAGGUGGAACAGAUGUAUAAGAGCACACCUGUACCUCACCACAGUGUAUCAGGGGAUGUAUCCUCAGAGAUAUUGGAGGCUAUUCAACAGCUCAAGAUGGAGAAUCAGAAACUACAGUCUACAGUUUUAGACAUGCAACGAGAAAUGCGAGGUGAUACUGUGGUUCCAUUGCACCAUAGGUCAGUGCCACCAUCACAUGACAGAGCCCCUUCGCAACCAUGGCGGCUACCUCGUGCCAACCUGCCAUACUCAGAGCAGCCAACUGAUAGUUACCAAAUUCAGCCUCACAGUAAAUCGACAUGGGAUGUUAGUAGAGCCCCUAUACCACACAAAGAGGAGGAUUGGCCACCCCCACCUCCACCAGUAGCUGAUGAUGUCCCACUUCCUCGAACUGCAGUGAAUAAACCACUACCUCCACCUCCAACAGCAGCUAUCCCAGACUUAGUGGAGGAAUUAACUGCAUGUUUGCGUAGACUAGGCAGGACAUCACACCCACCUUCGUGUCCAGCGACGCCUGAGUACUUUGAACCAGAUGAUGGUUCUUCAGUGGCAUCUGAUGCGCAGAGGUCACAUGACAUUGAUAGACAGUCCAAGUAUCCCCCCAUACCUCCUCAUGUCAGUAUGCAGUAUCACAAGGAGACUGGUGAGGACUUCCACAACCCUCAGCGAGAGAAAUUAUAUCGAGGUCCUAAACCCACAAUUCCAGAUUUCACCAAAGGGGACCCACGAGAGUUUGCAAGAUUGAAGAUCUCCCUGGAUAAUAUUCUGCCUGAAGAUGCCACAGAGAGAUUUAAAUAUCAGAUCCUCUUAGAUCAUCUCAAAUUUGAGGAUGCCCUUCUGAUAGCAGACUCUUACACAAAUUCAAAGAGACCUUAUUCAGACACCAUGGCUUCCCUGGCAGAACAGUAUGGACAGCCCCACCAGUUAGCUCUACGCCAUAUUGCUGACCUCAUGGAAGGCUCAAGUAUCCGCAGUCAUGAUACAACUGGAUUUAAGAAGUUUGCACUUAAGGUCAGAGCUCUCGUGGGCAUGCUAGAUCAACUUGGUCAAAGUGGAAAUGUUGAACUCCAGUGCGGCUCACAUGUUACUAGGUUACUAUCCAAGUUACCUCAGGACCUGCGAGCUGAUUUCAAGAGGUACAUGUAUCCCCUGGGAGUCCGCAUCCCCACACUUCUGAACUUUGCAGAGUGGCUGGAAUACGAACUGACAAUUCAAGAAAGUGGUUUUGAGUUUAUUGGAGAAAGAAGGGAACGCCUUGAUCAAAGGAUGGACAGACGUAAGGACGUCAAGUCUAGUAAGACAUUUUCCAUAUUUCACAGCUCAGACCCUUCCCCCACCAAUCCACCAACAGAAGGGUCUGGUCCAAGUGCUACUAGACCUCAAGACAAGGUAAAGGCAUACUGUCCCUAUUGCUCCAACACCCAACAUUACUUGAAUCAGUGCCAGAACUUUAGUCAGCUUACUAAAGAACAGAAGUGCUACUGGGUAAAAACAAAUAAAAAAUGUUGGCGUUGUGGUCGCACCCACCAAGCAGCACAGUGUCGUCUGAAAACAAUCUGCAAAAUCUGUAAGGGCAGGCAUCUUGAGGCACUCCACGAGCUCAAUGAUAGACCAAUUAGAGAAACCCCUCCUCUUUCGAAUCCCACCAGUGAGGUUCUCUACUUGGAUAGGCAAGCAGGCUGCAGUAAGGUACUGCUGAAAGUCAUCAAAGUGAUUUUACGUAAUGGAAAGCAUGUGCUAGAGACCUUCGCCAUUCUAGAUGAUGGCUCAGAGAGAACAAUUCUCCUUCAGGCUGCUGCUCAGAAACUGAAUCUUCACGGUAAGACAGAGGAUCUGGUACUGAGAACAGUUCGACAGGACAUGAAGGUCAUACAAGGUAAUACAGUUUCCUUCUCAAUAUCUCCUGCUUGUCAGCCUCAGAAGGUCUUUAAGAUCAACAGAGCAUUCACAGCAGAUCAGCUAGGAUUGGCAGAACAUACUUACCCUAUUAAAGUUCUACAAAGCAAGUACAGCCAUCUCAGAGGGCUGCCCAUUCCUGCCCUUGACAAAGCUCAUCCACUCUUGCUAAUUGGCUCUGACUAUCCUCAUUUAAUCACGCCAAUUGCGCCAGUGCUCUUGGGUCCUUCGGGUGGACCAGCAGCAGUGAGAACGAGGUUGGGUUGGACAGUCCAGGGUCCUGCCAAGCUUGUCCAUUAUCAGCUUCAGUCUCAACAGUGCCUGAACAUUUCCAUUAUGUCUCCCUCCAAUGAACUGUUCAAAAAUGUGCAGCAACUUUGGCAACUGGAUGUAUUGCCUUACAGGAAUGAGAAGCUUAUCACUAGAUCUAAGCAAGAUCAGGAUGCAGUGAACCUGUUAGAGGCAAAGUCCAAACGGAUUGACAUCAAUGGGAUCCAGCGCUAUGCCACUCCUCUUCUCAGGGUAAAGCACAUGCCAAAACUACAAGCCACAAAGGAAGCGGUAAUGGCCAACCUCCGCAGCACAGAGAAUCGCUUAAUGAGAGACCCUCAAAAGGCAGAAGCUUAUCAUGACGAAAUUAGGAAGCUAGAACAAGCUGGCUAUGCAGUCAAGGUACAAGAGCAGAUACUGAGUGAGACUGAUGAAUCUUGGUUCAUCCCUCAUCAUAUGGUGAGUCACAACGGGAAGAACAGAGUUGUCUUUAACUGCUCAUUCUCCUACAAAGGACAAAACCUAAAUGAUCUGCUCCUGCCUGGACCCAAUUUGGGGUCUUCUUUACUUGGUGUACUGCUAAGAUUCAGGGAGCACUCUGUCGCUAUCAGUAGCGACAUAAAGGGCAUGUUUCACCAAGUGAGAUUGCUGCCAGAAGACAAGCCGCUCCUCCGUUUCUUAUGGCGCAAUUUAGACAGAGAGAAACAACCCGAUAUCUAUGAGUGGCAAGUGCUCCCAUUCGGGACAACAUGUAGUCCGUGCUGUGCUACAUACGCUUUGCAGAGGCAUGUAUUUGACCACAGCCAACCAGGAGACCAGGUACGAGACUCUAUUGAAAGAUCUUUCUAUGUAGACAACUGUCUACAGAGCCUUGCUUCGUUGGAUGAAGCCAAAUUGCUUGUGGAUUCAUUAAGAGACCUGUUAGCCACAGGUGGAUUUGAGUUACGGCAAUGGGCAAGCAACAUUCCUGAGGUCAUUUGUCAUUUACCAAAGGAAGCCAGGUCAGAGAGCAGUGAGCUUUGGCUCAAUCAGACUGGGGAAGAUCCUCAAGAAUUUGCACUAGGGCUACGUUGGCUGUGCAAUUCAGACACUCUAAAGUAUAAGUGCCGUCUGCUAGACUGCCCGAAACCAACAAUGAGGAACAUAUACAAAGUGGUAGCAAGUCAAUAUGAUCCUCUCGGGUUCAUUGUUCCCUACACAACUAGGGCCAAAAUCCUCAUUCAGCAUCUUUGGGCAAAACACAGAGAAUGGGAUGAUCCGGUACUGCCAGAAGAUCUCCUUCGAACUUGGCACUCUUGGCAGGGGGAAUUGCAACACCUGUCNNNNNNNNN
Molecule: long non-coding RNA, 4642 nt
Organism: Cyprinus carpio (common carp)
Lineage: Eukaryota; Metazoa; Chordata; Actinopteri; Cypriniformes; Cyprinidae
Source: Ensembl